UCGGGAAUUUUGGGCAAUGGGGGAAACCCUGACCCAGCAACGCCGCGUGAAGGAUGAAGUAUUUCGGUAUGUAAACUUCGAAAGAAUAGGAAGAAUAAAUGACGGUACUAUUUAUAAGGUCCGGCUAACUACGUGCCAGCAGCCGCGGUAAUACGUAGGGACCAAGCGUUGUUCGGAUUUACUGGGCGUAAAGGGCGCGUAGGCGGCAUGACAAGUCACUUGUGAAAUCUCUGGGCUUAACCCAGAACGGCCAAGUGAUACUGUCGCGCUAGAGUGCAGAAGGGGCAAUCGGAAUUCUUGGUGUAGCGGUGAAAUGCGUAGAUAUCAGGAGGAACACCUGUGGCGAAGGCGGCCACCUGGUUGGAUACUGACGCUGAGACGCGAAAGCGUGGGGAGCAAACAGGAUUAGAUACCCGNGUAGUCCCUGAGCGGGCUGGCAAGGCGCAU
Molecule: ribosomal RNA, 447 nt
Filed under: uncultured bacterium
Lineage: Bacteria
Description: bacterial SSU rRNA
Rfam family: Bacterial small subunit ribosomal RNA
Source: RNAcentral